AUUGAACGCUGGCGGCAUGCCUUACACAUGCAAGUCGAACGGUAACAGGUCUUCGGAUGCUGACGAGUGGCGAACGGGUGAGUAAUACAUCGGAGCGUGCCUAGUAGUGGGGGAUAACUACUCGAAAGAGUGGCUAAUACCGCAUGAGAUCUACGGAUGAAAGCAGGGGAUCGCAAGACCUUGUGCUACUAGAGCGGCCGAUGGCAGAUUAGGUAGUUGGUGGGAUAAAAGCUUACCAAGCCGACGAUCUGUAGCUGGUCUGAGAGGACGAUCGGCCACACUGGGACUGAGACACGGCCCAGACUCCUACGGGAGGCAGCAGUGGGGAAUUUUGGACAAUGGGCGAAAGCCUGAUCCAGCAAUGCCGCGUGCAGGAUGAAGGCCUUCGGGUUGUAAACUGCUUUUGUACGGAACGAAAAGCCCCGGGUUAAUACCCUGGGGUCAUGACGGUACCGUAAGAAUAAGCACCGGCUAACUACGUGCCAGCAGCCGCAGUAA
Molecule: ribosomal RNA, 498 nt
Filed under: uncultured bacterium
Lineage: Bacteria
Description: partial 16S ribosomal RNA
Rfam family: Bacterial small subunit ribosomal RNA
Source: RNAcentral